This 262-nucleotide ribosomal RNA is filed under the name uncultured bacterium. RNAcentral's name for it is "partial 16S ribosomal RNA". It matches the Rfam family "Bacterial small subunit ribosomal RNA", at positions 29 to 313 of the family's 1533-position model. The record is from RNAcentral.
AACGAACGCUGGCGGCAGGCUUAACACAUGCAAGUCGAGCGCUUCACCUUCGGGUGGGAGCGGCAGACGGGUGAGUAACGCGUGGGAACGUACCCUUCCAGUUCGGGAUAACCCAGGGAAACGUUGGGCUAAUACCGGAUACGUCCGCAAGGAGAAAGGUUUACUGCUGAAGGAUCGGCCCGCGUCGGAUUAGCUAGUUGGUGGGGUAAAGGCCCACCAAGGCGACGAUCCGUAGCUGGUCUGAGAGGAUGANCAGCCACAC